RNAcentral lists this unclassified non-coding RNA (377 nucleotides) under plant metagenome. Its description in RNAcentral is "partial contains 5.8S ribosomal RNA, internal transcribed spacer 2, and large subunit ribosomal RNA". The stretch from base 1 to 104 matches the Rfam family "5.8S ribosomal RNA", at positions 51 to 154 of the family's 154-position model. The record is from RNAcentral.
AAAUGCGAUAAGUAAUGUGAAUUGCAGAAUUCAGUGAAUCAUCGAAUCUUUGAACGCACCUUGCGCUCCUUGGUAUUCCUUGGAGCAUGCCUGUUUGAGUAUCAUGAAAUCUUCAAAGUAAAUCUUUUGUUAACUCAAUUGGUUUCUACUUUGGUAUUGGAGGUCUUUGCAGCUUCACACCUGCUCCUCUUUGUUCAUUAGCUGGAUCUCAGUGUUAUGCUUGGUUCCACUCGGCGUGAUAAGUUAUCUAUCGCUGAGGACACUGUAAAAGGUGGCCAAGGUAAAUGCAGAUGAACCGCUUCUAAUAGUCCAUUGACUUGGACAAUACUUUUAUGAUCUGAUCUCAAAUCAGGUAGGACUACCCGCUGAACUUUAGC